GAUGAACGCUGGCGGCGUGCCUAAUACAUGCAAGUCGAGCGAACAGACGAGGAGCUUGCUCCUCUGACGUUAGCGGCGGACGGGUGAGUAACACGUGGAUAACCUACCUAUAAGACUGGGAUAACUUCGGGAAACCGGAGCUAAUACCGGAUAAUAUAUUGAACCGCAUGGUUCAAUAGUGAAAGACGGUUUUGCUGUCACUUAUAGAUGGAUCCGCGCCGCAUUAGCUAGUUGGUAAGGUAACGGCUUACCAAGGCAACGAUGCGUAGCCGACCUGAGAGGGUGAUCGGCCACACGGGAACUGAGACACGGCCCAGACUCCUACGGGAGGCAGCAGUAGGGAAUCUUCCGCAAGGGGCGAAAGCCUGACGGAGCAACGCCGCGUGAGUGAUGAAGGUCUUCGGAUCGUAAAACUCUGUUAUUAGGGAAGAACAAAUGUGUAAGUAACUAUGCACGUCUUGACGGUACCUAAUCAGAAAGCCACGGCUAACUACGUG
This 497-nucleotide ribosomal RNA is filed under the name uncultured bacterium. Its description in RNAcentral is "partial 16S ribosomal RNA". It matches the Rfam family "Bacterial small subunit ribosomal RNA", at positions 28 to 507 of the family's 1533-position model. The record is from RNAcentral.